RNAcentral lists this ribosomal RNA (1021 nucleotides) under Penicillium sp. Its description in RNAcentral is "SSU rRNA". It matches the Rfam family "Eukaryotic small subunit ribosomal RNA", at positions 73 to 1103 of the family's 1831-position model. The record is from RNAcentral. Lineage: Eukaryota; Fungi; Ascomycota; Eurotiomycetes; Eurotiales; Aspergillaceae.
CUUGUACUGUGAAACUGCGAAUGGCUCAUUAAAUCAGUUAUCGUUUAUUUGAUAGUACCUUACUACAUGGAUACCUGUGGUAAUUCUAGAGCUAAUACAUGCUAAAAACCCCGACUUCAGGAAGGGGUGUAUUUAUUAGAUAAAAAACCAACGCCCUUCGGGGCUCCUUGGUGAAUCAUAAUAACUUAACGAAUCGCAUGGCCUUGCGCCGGCGAUGGUUCAUUCAAAUUUCUGCCCUAUCAACUUUCGAUGGUAGGAUAGUGGCCUACCAUGGUGGCAACGGGUAACGGGGAAUUAGGGUUCGAUUCCGGAGAGGGAGCCUGAGAAACGGCUACCACAUCCAAGGAAGGCAGCAGGCGCGCAAAUUACCCAAUCCCGAUACGGGGAGGUAGUGACAAUAAAUACUGAUACGGGGCUCUUUUGGGUCUCGUAAUUGGAAUGAGAACAAUUUAAAUCCCUUAACGAGGAACAAUUGGAGGGCAAGUCUGGUGCCAGCAGCCGCGGUAAUUCCAGCUCCAAUAGCGUAUAUUAAAGUUGUUGCAGUUAAAAAGCUCGUAGUUGAACCUUGGGUCUGGCUGGCCGGUCCGCCUCACCGCGAGUACUGGUCCGGCUGGACCUUUCCUUCUGGGGAACCUCAUGGCCUUCACUGGCUGUGGGGGGAACCAGGACUUUUACUGUGAAAAAAUUAGAGUGUUCAAAGCAGGCCUUUGCUCGAAUACAUUAGCAUGGAAUAAUAGAAUAGGACGUGUGGUUCUAUUUUGUUGGUUUCUAGGACCGCCGUAAUGAUUAAUAGGGAUAGUCGGGGGCGUCAGUAUUCAGCUGUCAGAGGUGAAAUUCUUGGAUUUGCUGAAGACUAACUACUGCGAAAGCAUUCGCCAAGGAUGUUUUCAUUAAUCAGGGAACGAAAGUUAGGGGAUCGAAGACGAUCAGAUACCGUCGUAGUCUUAACCAUAAACUAUGCCGACUAGGGAUCGGACGGGAUUCUAUAAUGACCCGUUCGGCACCUUACGAGAAAUCAAAG